GGAGUUCCUAAAGUCAAGACUGAUCUUUCAGUAUAAACUUUUAAGCCAACAUGAAUGAGGAGAAGUCCUUGAAGUGCCCAAAAAAUGAAAAUUUGAACAUCUACAAUGUCAUGAUAACUGUGUGAACUACAUCUGCCGAAGAAGAUCGUGGGACGACUGCAUGCUCAAGAACUGCUACUAAAAGGAGCUUGUGCACAUUGUCAGAUACCCCUAGCCUGUUUUCUCCGAGCCGGACCGAACAGCACCGGUUUUUCCCGAAGCAGCCGAACACUCCACUGCGGCUGCGUCACCCUUUUUGUGAACAGCAAAGAUUAUACCUAGCUAAAGCGAAAAUGGACGGCAAACUUUCCGAAAGGAUGGACACCUAUAUCUGCAAAGCACAAUAGACACAUGUGAAGAUUAAGAAACGGCGGCGUGAACAGGAUGCCCGGUGAAAACAUCCGCUGUUUACUCUGACUGUAGUUUCCACGAUACAGUUGAGUUAGCUUAGCUGGCUAACGCCAAUAACUCGUAAAUAAGCAUCGCUUCUUUAAAACCUGCGCCGCUGAGUUUUUCUGCUCGGUGCGUGACAGCUCUGAGGAGCAGCGCUGCGACUGGUGCAUUUUUAAAAGAGGGGACCUUUGACUCACCUGAGCGAGUGCUUCCCAGGUAAAAGUAUCUAGUCUUUAUUUGAUAUUUUUCCUCGGAUGGAUUUCUGAGCAUAGCCACAUCACCAAACACUCCCGGAAACAAAACUUCCUCUGCACUGAUUGGACAGCCGGGAUCUGGCGUAUCUAAGGAACUGUCUGCAAAUUUCCAAGCGUCUACUCGUUUCUAGGGAGCAUCUACAUAAAUACAUUUAAAGAAAACGUAAAAUGAGCCCUUGAGCUAAAAUCACACUUAAUUUGGCCCAUCACCAACUGGAACAACAAAAAAAGAAGUGUAACGAUGGCAGGGCAUGACCAAAGAGUCAACCUGAUCAUCAACCAUGGCAGGCAGCUGGGGAGGAGUCUGCUGCUUCUCGCCUACUAUGCCACAGUGUUUGUGGUCUUUGUGGGACGUACAGUGCAGUGGAUGGUGGACGCCGUGAAGUGGACCAGCCUGUUUGCACGCUACACAGUGUCAGCCUUUGACUCCAUCUACAGACAUCUGCACUGGGGGAAGAGGAAAAGUGUCGCUGGUGGGGCCAGAGAGAUCUGCGCGAGCUCUGAAAUGAAGCCACAGUGACUUCAUGUUUAUCAUAACUUUGUCUGAGAAUGUUAUAUUGGUAAAAAGCCAAUAUAAGUCAGCAGGAAACAGCAGAGACUGAAGCUGAAGGGGUUAACGUUUUGAAACUGAAUAUGAAGCGCAAACAAACCAUGCUUGAUUAAGAACACAAAUGAGGCCUUAAUGAAGUCUGAAAUAUUAUAGCUUUUUACUUUUUUAAGCUCUUAAAACAUAGCUAUUUGUUACACAGUCUUACUGGUGAUAUAUUUUUAUGUGUUGUUACAUAACUUGUUCAUUUUUUUUGUUUUGUAGUUGACUACAAGCUCUUCCAAAAAUGUUGGAAACUAUAUUUCAGGCUGUUUCUUAGACAAAGCCUGUUGCUGCCAUUCAUUCCUCACACCUGCUGAUAUGACUGUUAAUGCAAAUGUGUCACAGGGUAAUGCAAACUACAGUAAAACAUGACAGAAGCAUACAAUAUGCCUUUUUAGAAUUAUGUUAUUGCACUAAAGCAGGUUUAGGAUAAAAUGAUAAAAUGAUGAUUAAACACUACAUGAAGAAAACGUCAUAGCAUCAAGAGCCAAAUGUUUUUUUUUUUUUUUUACAUCUGUGCCUGUGAAGCAUACACAAUAUUUAAUUUCACUGUAAUAUUUGUUGUUGUUUUUUUGUAAACAUUGCCCAAUUCCUCUCCUCUCCUGACAUGAAUCACUGAUUAAGCUGUCACACUGGCUAGACCAGUUAACUGUGGAGAUGCUGCUUUCUGUGGUUUUUCUGUGUUAAUCUGAAACUUUUACUUCUGUUUUGCAAGUUUUACGGACAGAAAUAAACACAAACACUCUCGCUGAAUGUAUUCCUGAGACAACUAAUAUGUGACGUUCACCAUUACUGGAAUGUUGAUGUGAGAACUGACAAAAUGAAAAGUGAAACGUUGCUUUAAAGUGAUCCGCAGCUACAUUUACUAAUGAAUUUUUUCAUUUUACUUUUGUAUUAAUGCAUUUAUUUUACUUGUUAGUCCAUUUAGAAUUCAGUUUAAGCACUGACAUGUAUAUAUCUGUAUUAUUUGUCUGUUAUAACUAAUAACACUUUAGCAAUGCAAUGGUGGCAUUAUUAGCUCCACUCAUAGCUGCUGAACACAUCAAAUACACUUACAAGUAUAUUGCAAGGUUGUGGUAAAAAAAAAAAGGGGGGUCUUAUUUAAUACAUGAGAUUUAAUUUCAUACAGAGGCAUUCUGACAUUGUUGUAACGUUAUUUUCUGGUAUUUACACUGACAUCACAUGGUUCUCUGCAGUGUCUGCAGAAUUUUACUAAUUCAAAAUGUAAUGCUUGUUCAGUCACUGUACUAAUCAGCCAUUGCUCACAUCUUAGCGUUUGACUGUAGUAUCAAAAUAAAGUUCUCUACCAAA
This is a long non-coding RNA of Toxotes jaculatrix (banded archerfish), 2586 nucleotides long. RefSeq lists it as uncharacterized. NCBI's taxonomy places the organism in Eukaryota, Metazoa, Chordata, Actinopteri, Toxotidae. The transcript is spliced from 2 exons. The record is from RefSeq and is a predicted model, not a curated record.